Molecule: ribosomal RNA, 473 nt
Filed under: uncultured bacterium
Lineage: Bacteria
Description: bacterial SSU rRNA
Rfam family: Bacterial small subunit ribosomal RNA
Source: RNAcentral
AUGAACGCUAGCGGCAGGCUUAACACAUGCAAGUCGAGGGGUAUAGUAGCAAUACUAGAGACCGGCGCACGGGUGCGUAACGCGUAUGCAAUCACCUUUGCAGAGGGAUAGCCCAGAGAAAUUUGGAUUAAUACCUCAUAGUAUAGCGACAUCGCAUGAUGAUGCUAUUAAAGUCACAACGGCAAAAGAUGAGCAUGCGUCCCAUUAGCUAGUUGGUAAGGUAACGGCUUACCAAGGCAACGAUGGGUAGGGGUCCUGAGAGGGAGAUCCCCCACACUGGUACUGAGACACGGACCAGACUCCUACGGGAGGCAGCAGUGAGGAAUAUUGGACAAUGGGCGCAAGCCUGAUCCAGCCAUGCCGCGUGCAGGAUGACGGUCCUAUGGAUUGUAAACUGCUUUUGUACAGGAAGAAACACUGGUUCGUGAACCAGCUUGACGGUACUGUAAGAAUAAGGAUCGGCUAACUCCGUG